AUGGAGGUGAAGAGCCUGGAACUCGAUACUGAAAUCUCAGCAAGAGAGCUGCCAUUGGGUACAGUUUGUUUUGGAAUUAAAGCAAAUAUAUCCAGAAAUUGUACUCAGGAUAUUCAAAUAACAGUGACGGAGGCAGUGAAGGAACUUCAGUAUAGGAGAUGGCAUCUCAUUUCUUCACUGUUCUCACAAAGGUGACCAGCUGUGUGACAAAUCCUUGGAAUCUGGAGCUGACCCCUGAGGGGUUCAGUUUCUUUGAAAACCACAGAAGGGAAAAUGCAGUGGAGAACUUGUGAACAACUGGGUCAGGAAAAACUGCGGCUGCUUUUCAGGGCUCUGAUCUAGGAACCCCAGAUGCAAAGACAUGCUGGCGUCCUCUUGCUCAGCCAUUCACCAGGAAACAGGUGAGCCAGCUCACUUCAUCAACCUCCGUGUGCAAUGUAGCUCAACAAAUAACUGAUUGACAAUCCUUUAUAAAUAUUAACAUGGUGCAAAAGUAAUGGCAAAAACCACAAUUACUUUUGUAUUUGUGUACUAAUACUAUUGGCUGUGUUGUCACAUGUGUGCAUUUGGAUUUACUGAGGCACUGUUUCAGAGGGUAUUAUCUGGACUUGUUAUACAUUUUGACUCACUAAGAGUAAUAUUCCUAAUGUACUUGUUUUUUUUUUUUUUGGCAUAGAAACACUAUGUUGAGUCUUAUUUUAAUGUUUCAAGGUUUCAAAAUUUUUCAGUUUGCUAAGCAGGUAUGUGUAUAGAACUUCUCCUAGGGGGAAGAGGAAGACACGAUUGAAUGAGUUGAAGACAAGAGUUGAGCUAUUACGUGUGUCGUGCCUUUGCAAUAUGGAUAGAAUCUAUUACUUUUUUUUUUUUUUUAAACAAAACCCCAAAACUAAUUCAGACAGAUAAGUAUGGUUCUUCAAAUACCUUCCUUAAUAUUUAGAAUUUCUUUAAUGAUUGAUGUUACUCAAAUAUGCUACAACUCUUCUCUCGGAAUUACUCUUGGAGUCAUUUUAGGAACUAAAAACAUAAUCCAUCUAUUUCUUUUGGGCACAGCAAUUAUUUUGACCAAAUAAUAUUAUGCAGCUGGAUUAUUCACCCUUAGUCACCAAACUUGGCUCUGAAUAGCCAUUGCCUUUUCCCCCCCCCGCAUCCAGAAAUAAAGGCCACAUACAAAGUCUGAAGAUUGUUUACCAAUGACACAAUUCCAAAGAAAAGCUUAGAAAAUGAUUCACAAAAAGAAUUUCAAACAUGGAAGUGUUUGA
RNAcentral lists this long non-coding RNA (1259 nucleotides) under Macaca mulatta (Rhesus monkey). Its description in RNAcentral is "lncRNA (ENSMMUG00000061912.1)". The record is from RNAcentral. Lineage: Eukaryota; Metazoa; Chordata; Mammalia; Primates; Cercopithecidae.